UACGUAGGUGGCAAGCGUUGUCCGGAUUUACUGGGUGUAAAGGGAGCGCAGGCGGUAUGGCAAGUCAGAUGUGAAAACCCAGGGCCCAACCCUGGGACUGCAUUUGAAACUGCCAUACUGGAGUGCCGGAGAGGUAAGCGGAAUUCCUAGUGUAGCGGUGAAAUGCGUAGAUAUCAGGAGGAACACCGGCGGCGAAGGCGGCCUGCUGGACCGCGACUGACGUUGAGGCUCGAAAGCGUGGGGAGCGAACAGG
Molecule: ribosomal RNA, 253 nt
Filed under: uncultured Eubacteriales bacterium
Lineage: Bacteria; Bacillati; Bacillota; Clostridia; Eubacteriales
Description: uncultured Clostridiales bacterium partial 16S ribosomal RNA
Rfam family: Bacterial small subunit ribosomal RNA
Source: RNAcentral